Molecule: ribosomal RNA, 364 nt
Filed under: Voeltzkowia yamagishii
Lineage: Eukaryota; Metazoa; Chordata; Lepidosauria; Squamata; Scincidae
Description: partial 12S ribosomal RNA
Rfam family: Bacterial small subunit ribosomal RNA
Source: RNAcentral
ACAAUAUUGUCCGCCAGAGAACUACAAGCGAAAAACUAGAAACUCCAAGGACUUGGCGGUGCCCCACAUCAACCUAGAGGAGCCUGUCCUAUAAUCGAUACCCCACGUUAAACCUUACCACCUUUUGCCCCCCAGCCUAUAUACCGCCGUCGUCAGCUUACCCCAUGAGAGAAAAAUAGUAGGCAAAACAGUUAAUAACUAACACGUCAGGUCAAGGUGUAGCACACGAGGUGGAAGAGAUGGGCUACAUUAUCUACCCCAGAAUAUACGAAUGGCACAAUGAAACACGUACCUAAAGGUGGAUUUAGUAGUAAGAUAAACAAGAAAUGCUAUCUUAAACUCGCCCUGGGGCGCGCACACACCG